Molecule: ribosomal RNA, 468 nt
Filed under: uncultured bacterium
Lineage: Bacteria
Description: SSU rRNA
Rfam family: Bacterial small subunit ribosomal RNA
Source: RNAcentral
AGGACGAACGCUGGCGGCGUGCCUAACACAUGCAAGUCGAACGGGGGUAGCAAUACCCUAGUGGCGAACGGGUGCGUAACACGUGAAGAACUUGUCCAUCGGCGGGGGAUAGCCGGCCCAACGGCCGGGUAAUACCGCGUACGCUUGUCGAGUGGCAUCACUUGACAAGGAAAGCAGCAAUGCACCGAUGGAGAGCUUCGCGGCCUAUCAGCUUGUUGGCGGGGUAAUGGCCCACCAAGGCAACGACGGGUAGCUGGUCUGAGAGGAUGAUCAGCCACAUUGGGACUGAGACACGGCCCAGACUCCUACGGGAGGCAGCAGUGGGGAAUAUUGCGCAAUGGGCGAAAGCCUGACGCAGCGACGCCGCGUGUGGGAUGACGGCCUUCGGGUUGUAACCACUGUCGCGAGGGACGAAAAAAUGACGGUACCUCGAAAGGAAGCACCGGCUAACUCUGUGCCAGCAGCCGC